AUUCUCCUCCUUGACACUAGGUGGGUAGGAGCAGGAGGACAGCGGCCUGCCAACAGGUUGUUCCAGGCGAUAGGCGGCUUUGGGGUCGCCCCAGGAGUCCAGCUGCGAGAGACCAAUGGGAUUUGAAAAUGGCCUUGAUGAUUCAGACGGCCGUGACGUCAGCGGGGUCAAGUUGUCGGCAGGCGGAGCGCGCAGAGUGGAGUAACAGCGCCAUCUAGCAGCUGCCUCGGGGGAAUAUUCCGGGAAAGAAAGAGGGAACCUGCGGAGCCUCGGUCAGUUUGGAGGAGUCACGUAUCACACGGGAAACCAGCACACAAGACGCAACAAAACCCGACCCAGAGAAGCGUCCUUUACAGAGCGCACGGGCUGGGAGCAUGUUUGAAAGAAGACAGACCAGUCUAUUUUUGUGGUUGUUUUUAAAUAAAAGGAAGAAAU
RNAcentral lists this long non-coding RNA (435 nucleotides) under Homo sapiens (human). Its description in RNAcentral is "non-protein coding HOXC-AS3:5". Lineage: Eukaryota; Metazoa; Chordata; Mammalia; Primates; Hominidae. The record is from RNAcentral.